GGCGAUGUGACCGAGUGGCAGGUGGGAGCUUGCAACGCUUCUUACGGUGGUUCGAAUCCACCCAUCGCCU
Molecule: transfer RNA, 70 nt
Filed under: Fodinibius salicampi
Lineage: Bacteria; Pseudomonadati; Balneolota; Balneolia; Balneolales; Balneolaceae
Description: tRNA-Cys
Rfam family: tRNA
About the family: Transfer RNA (tRNA) molecules are approximately 80 nucleotides in length.
Source: RNAcentral